Molecule: RNA transcript, 1091 nt
Organism: Haliotis rubra (blacklip abalone)
Lineage: Eukaryota; Metazoa; Mollusca; Gastropoda; Lepetellida; Haliotidae
Gene name: thrombospondin-2-like
Exons: 6
Source: RefSeq, a predicted model, not a curated record
GGGGACAGUGACACAGGCUAGGAACCGUACCUGUUCCGCUAACUGUCCGACCACUUUCAUGGGAAUGGAGACGAGGACUGUGGCGUGUGACGAAAGCCCAUGUCCAGUGGUCACCGAUUGGUCCGAAUGGGCUAAUAGUGGAGCAUGCUCAGUGACGUGCGGGUCGGGGACAGUGACACAGGCUAGGAACCGUACCUGUUCCGCUAACUGUCCGACCACUUUCAUGGGAAUGGAGACGAGGACUGUGGCGUGUGACGAAAGCCCAUGUCCAGGUAUUGGUCACCGAGUGGUCCGAAUGGGCUAAUAGUGGAGCAUGCUCAGUGACGUGCGGGUCGGGGACAGUGACACAGGCUAGGAACCGUACCUGUUCCGCUAACUGUCCGGCCAAUUUCAUGGGAAUGGAGACGAGAACUGUGGCGUGUGACGAAAGCCCAUGUCCAGUGAUCACUGAAUGGUGUGAAUGGGCUAAUAGUGGAGCCUGUUCAGUGACCUGUGGGUCUGGGGCACACUCGCAGGCAAGGAACCGUACCUGUUCCGCUAACUGUCGGACCAAUUUCAUUGGAAUGGAGACGAGGACUGUCCACUGCAAGCAUGGUCCAUGUCCAAAAGGACAUGGAGCCGGAUGGCCACAACCGUAUAGAUGGGGGCAAAGGAGACAUCAUUGGGGCUUUGGCACACAUCGAAGGAUACAUCAUGGGGGCUUUGGCACACAUCGAAGUAGAUAUUAUGGGAGCUUUGGCACACAUCGAAGUAGAUUUCAUGGGAGCUUUGGCACACAUCGAAGUAGAUUUCAUGGGAGCUUUGGCACGCAUCAGACCGGAUGGGCCAGACGUCGUUAUGGAUAUCAUGGCUAGGCGCAACUCUACUAAGCCAGAUUUUGACGCCAAAGAUAUCAAGGAUAUUACGCUGUUCUUGAGCUGACGGCCUGGAUUGAUACAACUUAUAAUACGGAUGCCGCGGUUACGACCAACAGCUACGCCUAUUUCAAAGAUAUAAGACAUUUGAUAAUACAAUACCGCACAUUUUUGUGGCUGUGAUGGAUCUAAAUGUGCAUUCUACAUGUCAAUAAAGCUUACGAUCUAACUGUCUAA